CCUACGGUGGCAGCAGUGGGGAAUAUUGGGCAAUGGGCGCAAGCCUGACCAAGCAACGCCGCGUGAAGGAGGAGGGCUUUCGGGUGGUAAACUUCUUUGGUCAGGGAAGGUUAGAAGACGGUACCUGACGAAUAAGCCACGGCUAACUACGUGCCAGCAGCGGCGGUAAUACGUAGGUGGCAAGCGUUGUCCGGAUUUACUGGGUGUAAAGGGCGUGUAGCCGGGUUGACAAGUCAGAUGUGAAAUCCUGCGGCUUAACCGCAGAACUGCAUUUGAAACUGUUGAUCUUGAGUACUGGAGAGGCAGACGGAAUUCCUAGUGUAGCGGUGAAAUGCGUAGAUAUUAGGAGGAACACCAGUGGCGAAGGCGGUCUGCUGGACAGCAACUGACGGUGAGGCGCGAAAGCGUGGGGAGCAAACAGUAUUAGAUACCCGGGUAGUC
This 441-nucleotide ribosomal RNA is filed under the name uncultured bacterium. Its description in RNAcentral is "partial 16S ribosomal RNA". It matches the Rfam family "Bacterial small subunit ribosomal RNA", at positions 338 to 795 of the family's 1533-position model. The record is from RNAcentral.